UACGUAGGGGGCGAGCGUUGUCCGGAGUUACUGGGCGUAAAGCGCACGCAGGCGGUCUGCUAAGUUUGGAGUGACAGUUGGUGGCUUAACUGCCAAAGUGCUUCGAAAACUGACAGACUUGAGGGCUUCAGAGGGACACGGAAUUCCGGGUGGAGUGGUGAAAUGCGUGGAGAUCCGGAGGAACACCAAAGGCGAAGGCAGUGUCCUGGGGAGUACCUGACGCUCAGGUGCGAAAGCCAGGGGAGCGAACGGG
RNAcentral lists this ribosomal RNA (253 nucleotides) under uncultured bacterium. Its description in RNAcentral is "partial 16S ribosomal RNA". It matches the Rfam family "Bacterial small subunit ribosomal RNA", at positions 524 to 776 of the family's 1533-position model. The record is from RNAcentral.